RNAcentral lists this non-coding RNA (29 nucleotides) under Rattus norvegicus (Norway rat). Lineage: Eukaryota; Metazoa; Chordata; Mammalia; Rodentia; Muridae. The record is from RNAcentral.
GCCUGGAAAAUACAAGUUGAUGAUGAUAC